CUACUAUCAAGUGUCUACAUUUGUAUUGGAUUGACUUAACAUCUCUGGAAAGCCAGAAAUCAGAGAUACAGAGAAGUAUUGAAAUGCUGAAAUGCUAUGAAUUUACUAUAAGAGAACAUUCUUCACUGAAGAGAUCUCUAGCUGCCAAAACACCCUUUCAUGCGUGAAAUACCGGGGCAAAGAGGAAGGAAAAGAGAAGAGUAUGACUCUAGGAACCAUGUUGCAGAAA
Molecule: long non-coding RNA, 229 nt
Filed under: Homo sapiens (human)
Lineage: Eukaryota; Metazoa; Chordata; Mammalia; Primates; Hominidae
Description: non-protein coding lnc-MYEF2-3:3
Source: RNAcentral